This is a long non-coding RNA of Prunus persica (peach), 3668 nucleotides long. RefSeq lists it as uncharacterized. The record is from RefSeq and is a predicted model, not a curated record. Lineage: Eukaryota; Viridiplantae; Streptophyta; Magnoliopsida; Rosales; Rosaceae. The transcript has 7 exons.
UGCUGAUGAUUUCGAAGAUGACUUGCGAACUGUUCUUUUUUCAGAUCAGGGGAGAUCUGCUAAAAGUAUGCUAAUUUUUUUAUUACUGGGAAUUGAGUUUAUUUGAUUUGCAACAUCUUUAUGUAGGAAAAAGACCUGUGAAGAAAGAACAAUACAUCUCUAACGAGGAAGCUGCGAGAAUUUGGAAUGAGAAAAAAUCACAUACCAUCGACGUUAUUAAUUCACAGAAGAAGUUCUUUCCUGCUGACAGGUUCCUCAUUCUCCCGUUGUUUCUGUUUUGCCUCUAAUCUGUGCUCGUCUUAGUAGUGAGUCCGUUUCCUUUUGAUCUUGUCUUCUGUGUUUGUUGCCUUUCACUUUGCGGUUCUUGACUGAGGGCACAUAUUUUUGUUAAAGUGUCUUUGUUGGCAAAUUGGAUCACGUUCAAAACAUUCUCCAAGAAAACAAAGGGUUUUUGGAAUUGGACCUUAUGGAUCUGGAGAAGUAUAUUGAUAACCUUAGGUCGAUGGCAGCCGAUGACAGCGGUUGGCCUGAAUAUUAUGUUGAAUUGAAGAAAAGUCUUGGACUUGAGUUUUCCUCUCAGGCUGUGUUUUCUGAAACACCUAUUACUUACAAGAAUGCAAUGCUCGCUCCUCCUGUUACAUCCUUCAAUGAUUGCUCUGAUGAAUUGGAUAGUGACAUUUGUUGCGAGGAAGCUGAGAAACUCGAUGCACAAAAAUCCAUUAUCGUUGAUGCUAUCGGUAGAUUGAAGAACCCUUGGGACCAUCCCACCUGCCUGCAGUGACUUGCUUGGCCGUUUGGAAGAUAUGUGCUCCAGUCUGGCACGCUACGAAUCUAUUAAAUGUCGGAAGAAACUGUCUGAUUUCAACGACUAUAUUUGUUCAAUUAAGGGGAAGGCAGACGUUGACAGCCGCUGGAUUGAAAUGCUGGAUGAUUUACAGAAGAGUCUUGGGCUGGAGAAUAAUCCUCAGGUUUUCUUAUCUUUCCACAAUCUGUUAGCAACUUAAAAUUUUCAACUCACUGUUAAAAGUUGUAUCAGUAGCAAUGCAUGUUGUCUUACGUUGUCGACGCAGUGCCAACUUUAAUUGUUCACUCCCCCAAUUUAUGUACGGCAUUUUGGACUUGCGCUCUUGGACACAUUGUUCAUGCAACUGGAAAAUGUUGUUCAUCUCUGUUUCUUUUUACAUAUAUUCUAUCGUGGUUUUGUUGGGUUUAUGUAAAAAUUUAGGUGGUACAUCCUAUGGCAAAGAAGGCAAAGAAGGCAAAGAAGUCAAAGAAGGCAAAGAAGGCAAAGAAGGCAAAGUAUGCUGACCCUGAUUGAUACACGCUUUUUGUUAGGUGUUGGAGGACCACAAGGAUCAGAGUUUUAACACUGUUAAUGCUGCAUGGUAACAACAUAAUCAAGAGAUGUUUUUACUGAGAACCUCUGCUCAUUUUGGAAAAUGAUGGAUGCCCCUUGGACAUUAUGUGCGUUGUUAGGUUGUUAAUGACUUGUUUUGUCUUGUGAAUGGUUUACGUGUAGGCUGGCUUUUGUGGUGCUAUUAAUUUUCCUUGUGCUUUUAGCUUUAUCGGAAACAAGCUCAAAACUAUUAACUCAAUACAUAUAAAAUUGUGCAUGGUACAUAGAUGCAUAUUCUCGCACACCCAAUUUUUCAGCUUCCUUUUCUGGAAUGUGUUCAUUUGGUUCUGCUCGAUUUUAUUUUAGGUUAAGUUUUACACAACCUUAGGGCUCGGAGUAACCAGAUUCGUAAAUUCUUCAUUUUAAGUUCAUCUCAUCUCAUCCGUGCCCUUGCUUUCAUUGUUCCUUCUUUUUUCUGGUAAUCAGAUUAUGGUGUUGAGAUUACCUCUCAAGCUACCCAAAAGCAUGCAAACACGAUGAAGAUUGUUUAACGAGACAAAACUAGAAAAGUAGUUAUGUCAUAUGUCCUUCCCAGUUCAAAUAAUUACCAGAGGGCCCUGCAGUGCGUAGUUCGUACUGUUUUGAGAAUAUAGUGUUAGGAAAUUUUUUGCUGGGCUUAGUUUAUUAUAUAAGUCUCACUGGGGUAGGCUUGAUAUAGUCUAGAUAGAGUGUAUUUAGGUUUGCACAGCUUAAGAAACGAUACAAUGAGAAAGUAACCAGUAAGGUAAAACGACACUACCAAAGAAUUUAAUCAAAACCUGAAUCAUUUCACGCUUCAGCUUAAGAAAAUUGAAAAAGGGUCAGUAGAUUGCUUAAAGGAAUUGUAGGGUUUCAUUCUGUUCCAAUUGAAAACUCAAUUCUUCAAUUCUUCAAAAACGAAACUUUGACUCCCAUGUCCUUCUUAAGUUUCUUUUUGUUUUGGGUUGAAAGUUUUUCUUUGCUGGGUUGUAUGGAUUCAGUUGAAAGGCUUUCAGUUCUGCUUUCUUUCCUUCAUUGUAAGCCUUUUUUCCGAUUUUCUGGCCUUGGAAUGAAGUUUCAGUCUUGACCUAAAGAAAAAACUUUGUUUUCAAUUAGCAGAUUCUCUCUGUGACCAGUUUCUGUUCUUGGUAUCACUGCAUCGAAGAACUUGAAAGACUCACUGAAUCCAAUUGCUAAAGUGAAUUGCUUCAACAAUGUUCUUAGUUCGAAGAUAUAGAAGCCAAAAAUUGUAGAUAAGAUGUAUAUGUUAAGUGUGUUUUCUUCUGUCCAAAGGUGUAGAAUUCAUAUAUUAGUGUUUUUAUGAAUUAGUUGUGCUGCAAUAAAGCAAGGUUAGAGCAUGUUGUACUUUCUGCACAAUGGGAAUUAUAAGUGCAUGGAGAUUAAUGAAGAUUGCUUAUUAGAGCAUGUUCUACUUCUGUCCAAUGUAUGCAUGUUGAUAGUUCUAUCUCUAAUAAAAGAUUGCUUAUUAAUGAAAAUUCUUUUAUGUUUUGGCAUAGAAGAACAGGGCAUAUUUCAAGAGAAAAUUGUUUUAUGUUUUGGCAUAAAAAUUUGGGAUUCUUGCACAAUACACCACUGCUGGUACUCCUCAUCAAAAUGGAGUUGUAGAGAGACGAAACAAAAUGUUGAAGGAAAUGGUGAGGAGCAUGAUGACGAGCCUAAAUUCUUGUGGGAAAAAGUAUUGAAGAUAACCAUGCACCGUGUACCAAGUAAGUCUGUUCCUAAGACGCCAUUUGAACAAUCGACAGGUAUGAAGCCUAGUUUGUUACAUUUCAUGUUUGGGGUUGUAACCCUGAAACUAAAGAGAAGCUUAAUCCAAGGAUUGUGAGUUGGUCAUUUUAAUAGAUUUCCUGAAAAUUUUAAAGGUUAUAUAUUAUUUUAUUGCCCACAAUACAAUUGCACAGAAAGAUAGUAUAUAGACUCAUAAUACUAAUACCAAUUUUGAGUUUGAAGAAGAUGAAUUUGUGGCAGUACCAAGUAAGUAAUGAGCAGUUCAAGUUACCUCCAAGGCUAAUCAACGAGAAUGAAGAUGAAGUAUCCCUACAGCAACAUGUCCAACCUUCUCCACCACAGAAGUCAAUAAUGAGCAGUCACUCUCUCACGAAGAGCCUCAAGAUCCUCAUGCUGAUGUUCAACUUGUCAUCGAAAUUACCAGAAGAUAGUCCCCAAGAGUUAGAAAGCCAUCAAUUUCUGAUGAAUGUAUAUGUGCAGGAGAUUGAAUGACAUUAGAAUGAAGAUGAAACUAAGAACUUUGAUCAAGAAAGCAUCAAUGAAGGAGUGUACGUAGAUUAUAGCA